GUGCUCUCAGGGCGACCUCACAGGGGCUUGGCCGUGGCACUGAGGGGAGAGCCUGAUUGGCUGGCUGUUUCAUUGCCAGAUCUCUGAAGGCCAAUCAGGAUUUGUAGCUCAGCCACCUGCUUUCUGAGGAGCACUGAGCAAGAUGGCCACCUCCUGGUGGUAAGUCUCGCUCCUGGAGUUCCCAUCUUGACCCUACAGCGGGACAUUUUGCCGCCACCUCUUUGUGUGUUGGGAAGAUGACGUCCUUUCUGCUCGUCCUGCUUCUCUGAUUGAUCUGUGUCUCUGGAGAUCCCUUUGCUCAGCCAUCAGAUCAAGCAGGCAUCCAUGGUUCAGAAUGGUGAUGACCUGGGCAAGAGCUCACCAGUAAGGAGCAAAGGGGCCCGCCUGCCACUCUUAAGCAGAGCGCCUGCUGAAUCAGGAUUUCCAAGGCUCCGGCUGAGUGCCUGGCUGGGGGCUGUGUGUGCAGAUGCCACAAGAUGGACAAGACUGAGGACGCAGAUUUCCUACAACAGCAGACUUCUGAUGCCCAGGCCUCAGUUCUGAACUCUGGAGGCUACAACCUGGCCUGCUUAUAGACGGUGGACCAAAUGAAGAUGAGGAAACUGAAGCAACUGUUCAAGAAGAGGAUAUAAAAAGGGACAGGCAUUGAUGAUGAUAUCAGAGCUUCUUCCUGGGGAAUCUCAGCCUCACAUGAUGGAGUAUGACUAAAGGAAAAAAAUAAGGCUCUUCACAUACUUUCUUGGCAGUCUGUGAGGGUCAGGGUUGAUUUUGUGUCCCUAAAAUGUCACAUGAAGUUCAUAGGCACUUCCAAAGGGGCAGUCUAGCAAGUUAAAGAGUAGAUGUGGGGCUGUGUGGAGUCCAUUGUUUGGGUAAUCUUUUUCAAACAGUAGGAAUAUACCAGCUUGUAAAGAUUUGCCCACUUAGCUUCAAGUCUCUCUGAACACAUUUCCCCCCGCUCUAUGAAUAGAUGAAGACAUACAAAUGGAACUCUUGAUAUUCUUAAGUGAAAAACAUGAUAUGGAAUAGCAGAUAAAUACAAACAAUUUCUUAUCCAGCAAAGAGCUCCAGAAAUAUUUUGACUUCAUUUAAAACAGUUAUAUAAAUAUUUGCUGGUGGAAUUUUUUUCUAAACCAAAUACCCUGAAGGAUUUUAGUUGUCUAUCUACAACUUUUUGCUUGUGGAAAAUGUUGACUUCCUGGUUACUUUGACUUGUGUUCACCUGAAAUUUUGCUUUUGCAGUAGUUUUUCUUAUGAUUUAGUGGCAUUGCCUGUCCAGUGACAGGAAGUGGUGUUCUUAUUGGGACUAAUAUGUGUUAUGGCCCUAGAACCAGCAGAAGCCACUCCUGCUUUUUUCCACACUCUUCUUUCUAUAGAAGAGAAGGGAAUGAGGAUCCCACAUGGCAUUCACUGCCUUGAGCAUACUGAGAUUUCUUUGCAAAAGGAGAAACAGCACCAGCAACUAAGCAUUUUAUCCCAUUUUAUUUUACUUCUUCUAUGAUUCUUUGCCACUUAGCAAUGCCAAUUAAUUGAUUUGGGACUGGAAAUACAUUUCUUAUACAAUCUUCAAGUUUUCUUUCAUAAGAACAUAACUUUCAUCUGAUAUUGUUCCCCACUUCUCUCUUUUCAAAUGUAAUAUUUGGGCCAGUCCUUGAAAGUGAACUGAGUUGAGUUCUCAUGGCCCAUAAAAGAACAUAUUCAAAAUGUAUCAUUUUCUUUAUGUCACAGAUAAAAGAUCAUUAAUUGUAUAUAAAAUUUCCAUAUAAUUUUUAAAAUUUUUAUUUUGCAAUAAUUUAUUUUAGAUUUACAUUAAAGUUGCAAGGAAGGU
Molecule: long non-coding RNA, 1825 nt
Filed under: Homo sapiens (human)
Lineage: Eukaryota; Metazoa; Chordata; Mammalia; Primates; Hominidae
Description: HSALNT0087802
Source: RNAcentral